RNAcentral lists this ribosomal RNA (1000 nucleotides) under Lactiplantibacillus pentosus. RNAcentral's name for it is "bacterial SSU rRNA". It matches the Rfam family "Bacterial small subunit ribosomal RNA", at positions 64 to 1047 of the family's 1533-position model. Lineage: Bacteria; Bacillati; Bacillota; Bacilli; Lactobacillales; Lactobacillaceae. The record is from RNAcentral.
GGUGCUUGCAUCAUGAUUUACAUUUGAGUGAGUGGCGAACUGGUGAGUAACACGUGGGAAACCUGCCCAGAAGCGGGGGAUAACACCUGGAAACAGAUGCUAAUACCGCAUAACAACUUGGACCGCAUGGUCCGAGUUUGAAAGAUGGCUUCGGCUAUCACUUUUGGAUGGUCCCGCGGCGUAUUAGCUAGAUGGUGGGGUAACGGCUCACCAUGGCAAUGAUACGUAGCCGACCUGAGAGGGUAAUCGGCCACAUUGGGACUGAGACACGGCCCAAACUCCUACGGGAGGCAGCAGUAGGGAAUCUUCCACAAUGGACGAAAGUCUGAUGGAGCAACGCCGCGUGAGUGAAGAAGGGUUUCGGCUCGUAAAACUCUGUUGUUAAAGAAGAACAUAUCUGAGAGUAACUGUUCAGGUAUUGACGGUAUUUAACCAGAAAGCCACGGCUAACUACGUGCCAGCAGCCGCGGUAAUACGUAGGUGGCAAGCGUUGUCCGGAUUUAUUGGGCGUAAAGCGAGCGCAGGCGGUUUUUUAAGUCUGAUGUGAAAGCCUUCGGCUCAACCGAAGAAGUGCAUCGGAAACUGGGAAACUUGAGUGCAGAAGAGGACAGUGGAACUCCAUGUGUAGCGGUGAAAUGCGUAGAUAUAUGGAAGAACACCAGUGGCGAAGGCGGCUGUCUGGUCUGUAACUGACGCUGAGGCUCGAAAGUAUGGGUAGCAAACAGGAUUAGAUACCCUGGUAGUCCAUACCGUAAACGAUGAAUGCUAAGUGUUGGAGGGUUUCCGCCCUUCAGUGCUGCAGCUAACGCAUUAAGCAUUCCGCCUGGGGAGUACGGCCGCAAGGCUGAAACUCAAAGGAAUUGACGGGGGCCCGCACAAGCGGUGGAGCAUGUGGUUUAAUUCGAAGCUACGCGAAGAACCUUACCAGGUCUUGACAUACUAUGCAAAUCUAAGAAGAUUAGACGUUCCCUUCGGGGACAUGGAUACAGGUGGGUGCAUG